Long non-coding RNA from Panicum virgatum (switchgrass), 667 nucleotides. RefSeq lists it as uncharacterized. The transcript is spliced from 3 exons. NCBI's taxonomy places the organism in Eukaryota, Viridiplantae, Streptophyta, Magnoliopsida, Poales, Poaceae. The record is from RefSeq and is a predicted model, not a curated record.
AUUGUUCCCUGUGUUGCAAAGGCUUGUCCCGAGCGAUAUACAUUCAGGGCACUACUUCCUAAUUGUUCUGAACCUUCAGAACAACAGGUUUGAAGUCCUCGACUCUAUGAGAACACUGGAGAAUGAAGCGCUGUCACAGUGCUGCAACACAAUCACCAGCGGAAUCAAACAGUUAUGGAAAAUCUACUAUGCUCAGACAACCGAGCAAAUAGAGAACUAUGAAACUGUUCAAAUUCCAGUUCCAAAACAAACAAACAACCAUGACUGUGGGUUCCACAUGUUGAUGCAUGCUCAACAUUGGGAUGGACGUUUGGUGUGUGAGCUUCAUGGAAAUGACAUUCCUAACAUACGGAAGAUCCUGGCGCAUACAUGACUCAGCUAUGAAGAAAAUGACGUAGACUGGGAGAGCAUCUUAAAUGCAGAAUAGGCUUUAUGGCAGCGGCUUCAAAAGUGGUUCUACAACACUGGACCCAACUACAGCGUAUUUGCAUCUGUAUUUUGGGGAGAAGAUCUGCUGUUUUUUUCUUCACAUUUUUUUCUGGGGAUGAUGAUGCCACCGCAUGUGGAUCCAUGUGGUUACUGGAACCUAGAUGUUGGGGCCUUGGGGGAGGGGAAGAAUUGCAGAUGAUCGCAGUAUAAAAGACUUCGUUAUGUGUGAUGUACCUAA